Long non-coding RNA from Drosophila montana, 1385 nucleotides. RefSeq lists it as uncharacterized. The record is from RefSeq and is a predicted model, not a curated record. The transcript has 2 exons. NCBI's taxonomy places the organism in Eukaryota, Metazoa, Arthropoda, Insecta, Diptera, Drosophilidae.
CUAAAAAGUAAAAUCUGAAAUAGGAAACUUCUCACUCGACUCUCAUGUCGAAACUGAAUGCCAAAUAACAAACAUCAAAUAUACUUAAAUUUUUAAAAAAUAUUUUCUUUUUCCUAGUAUGCCUUGAAAUUAAAAAUGUCAAAUUUGCUCUAGGUACGUAAACUUACAUACAAACAUAUUCAGUCCGUUCUAAAACUCGACUAGAGCGCUUCAAAAAAUUUAAGACUCGGAAAAUAGUAAAAAAAUAUCAAAAAUCAAAACAUUUCUUCUAAAAACUGGUUAUAAUAAAGUUUAUAUAGAAUUUAAAUCCUCACCUUCGACAAGGUUUUAAACAAAGUUUUCCCUUUCUUUUUCUUUUAAUAACAAUAUCCCAUUCUUCCUCGCCCGCGUUGGCAUUGUCGCCUUCGCCUUCCCUAUCCCGCGAAGCACUAUUUACGAGUGACUUUUCUCAACUAACCAUCGAAAAUCCUGAUUCCAACGAGGAUGCAGGGCAUCUUUCUAGUGCUUGAAAACUAGCUUCGCUGCGUAAACAGCGCAAUCACCCUAGAUUGCCUUGUGUCAACAAUAUGAAUCACAAGCCUCCACAUAUUGCAGUUUUGCAGAACAGCUCAAUACAUCAAAACCCUGACAGAUUAAAUUCUAGACUCUAUUCUCACUAAAUUCGAAGCAAAUAAUCCACCCAUCUGAAUCUAAGCUAAGACUGAGUGGUCCUGAAUAUAUAAAAAUUAUUCCAGAAACAACAGUCAUAUAGACUGUUAAUAUACUUGACCAGGAAAAAGACUGCCAAUACAAUACGUACCGAUGAAGAGUGAACAGUGCGUUGCAUUUUAGCCUCCAACACUGGCCAUAUCAAACAGGAACUGACACGGAUGGGAUGAGGUCAUAAGAGUAUAUAGCCCCAAGUUACAAAAUUGGCAUUGCUCUGGCACAUUAAGACCGAAUAUCUUUAUUGAAUAAGCUCCAAAUUCAGAAAAGAGCAACACCAUAUUCGGAAUCUGCUUUUUAUUGCGUCACACAGCCCAAGCAUGUGCUUAGUGUCUUAGAUCCAGAUAUUUUAAAACAAAGCACUGCCCGUUUCCAACGCACAUAUUUACCAUUGACAAUUCUUACAUCCAUAGGGUUCUCAACCACCUUGCAGUUGGCGUGCUGGACAACAGGAACACCACCAGAAGACUCAAGAGAAUGCAUCUGCUGCAUCUUCCAAGGGACCAAAUUACUUGAUCCAAUCAUUCCCCUCCCACCACACACCAACCCAACCACUAAUUAAACAUCGCUAUAAUUCACAAUAGGGAAUCACAUACUACAAAUGAAACAAACCCUUGAAAAAAUUUAGUAAUUGUCAACGCAUGAUCUUAAAUAAAAUGGUUAUUAUACCAACAAAAAUU